Bubalus bubalis (water buffalo) is the source of this 1129-nucleotide long non-coding RNA. RefSeq lists it as uncharacterized. NCBI's taxonomy places the organism in Eukaryota, Metazoa, Chordata, Mammalia, Artiodactyla, Bovidae. The transcript is spliced from 3 exons. The record is from RefSeq and is a predicted model, not a curated record.
UUAGCCCCCAAGGGCUCCCCUGGGGGCACUGCCCAGGAGACAGGGGAAGGAGACUAGACCAGGGCCCCCAAACCUGCCACUUGUCAGGGCUCUCCAAGUGGAAAAAGCCAGGGGGACUGGGAGGAGGAGGGGCAGUGCUGUGGGAGACCAGGAUCCUUCCUCCCAGGCUGGACUCUUGAAGAAGCACGUGGGCAGUCUGAGUCCACCCACUUUUUGGCCUCAGUCUUCCCAUCUAUUCAAGGGAACUGUGUGGGUGGGAGAGGCAAAACCAAGCAACAGGCAGGAAGGUCUCAAACCUCAGCCUGCCAUGUGUCAGAGUCGCCAGGCUGCAUGUGGGUCCUGACCGUCCAGAAUCCUUCUGCUCAGGGUGUGUGCCUGGAGUUCGGGGUGUUUAGGCUUCAGACAAGUUGCUGUUGAUGUCAGGAGGUCCUCCCUGCUACCCGCCUUCCUGCUCUGCCUUUAGCCAUGGAUGGCACACUUGGGAUUGCUGGGGGAAAGGCAACAGAAAUGCACCCUGGGAUGCACUGUGGGUCGCACCUUCCUUCCAGAAGAGGCCUCUUGACCUGAUACAGUAAUCCCUGCAUUUCUCUGAGUUUCACAGCUCCCCUCACAAGCCUUAAUGAUGGGCUUUUGUUUGUUGUUUGGGAGCUUUUUGUUUUUGCUAGCGUCCACAGGGUGGUCUCCCUCUCUUUUCCAAACUCCAGAUCUCUUUCCUUCUAUGGACAUGCUUCCUGAAAUCUAGCCUAAGUCCUUCAAGUUGCAGCCCCAACCCUUUCCCUAGGUCUUCUGCCAUUGGCCACAUCCACUCCUUGAAUACUACACCUUUUCAGGGACCUGAAGUGCUAAUUAAGCCCUCUCAAGCCCAUGCUUCUCCAGCCUCCUUCUCCAGGCCACCAUUUCAGUUCUCACUUCUCUCCUGCAUUCCAUAGCCAACCCCUCCCUUCUCCCCACCACCUCAAAUCCAGCUCCCAGCUGGCUGACACCCACGGGAGGGUUUUUCCCAUAAUCCCUUUCUCUCUGCCCUUUCAAGGUUCUGAUGGGGGGAGGGGAUGAAGAGGGACCACGCAAAUGCACUGUCUCCAUGAAAAUGGUGGCAACGCCUAUAAUAAACUUGGAUGAAGGGAGAAAA